Molecule: long non-coding RNA, 374 nt
Filed under: Rattus norvegicus (Norway rat)
Lineage: Eukaryota; Metazoa; Chordata; Mammalia; Rodentia; Muridae
Description: long non-coding RNA NONRATT001584
Source: RNAcentral
GCAUGGGAGUGUAGUUUGUAGGAAGCUGCUACACCCUGGUGGCCUUCUGUUUUGUUGCACGGUUGUUCGGGUUCACGUAGGUGCAUCCCUGUCCCUAAGCGAACAGGCGACGACACGGGUAGGAGCGGUCUCAGAGGUCCAGGCCGGAAGUGGGCUGAGGCCCGCCCUUUCCUCUGUGCUGUGAAUCUCGUGCAGCGGAGGUGUUUGCUUAUCCCGCACCGCCCGCAGAUUCCAAGACCUUUCCAGUGGGUGGUGUCUGACAAAGAGAAACGCAAACCAUGGGUGAACUGCUGCUGUCCACACGGAGUGGAGGAAGGCAAGGCAAGGCCUAGGUGCUCAGUCAGUCAGCAGAGCAAACUUGGUGUACUCUGAAG